GGAUUAGGCAUGCAGUCGCACGAGAAAGGCUUCUUCGGAAGCCGAGUAAAGUGGCGAACGGGUGAGUAAUGCAUAGACAACUCGCCCUUGAGAUGGGGACAACGCCUCGAAAGGGGUGCUAAUACCCAAUGCCGCCUUGGGCCUGCGGGUCCAGGGUGAAAGGAGGCCUCUGAUUCAAGCUUCCGCUCAAGGAGGGGUUUAUGUCCUAUUAGCUAGUUGGCGGGGUAACGGCCCACCAAGGCUGCGAUGGGUAGCCGACCUGAGAGGGUGACCGGCCACAUUGGGACUGAGACACUGCCCAGACUCCUACGGGAGGCUGCAGUCGAGAAUCUUCCGCAAUGCGCGCAAGCGUGACGGAGCGACGCCGCGUGGGUGAUGAAGGCCUUCGGGUUGUAAAACCCUGUCAGCUACUACGAAACACGGGCGAUGAACAAUCGUCCCGUCUGACUUAAGUAGCAGAGGAAGCACCGGCUAACUACGUGCCAGCAGCCGCGGUAAUACGUAGGGUGCGAACGUUGUUCGGAAUCACUGGGCAUAAAGGGCGCGUAGGCGGUCUGAUAAGUCAGGUGUGAAAUCCCUCGGCCUAACCGAGGAACUGCAUUUGAUACUGUCGGGCUAGAGUACAGGAGGGGAGAGUGGAAUUCCUGGUGGAGCGGUGAAAUGCGUAGAUAUCAGGAGGAACGCCGGCGGCGAAAGCGACUCUCUGGCCUGUUACUGACGCUGAGGCGCGAAAGCUAGGGGAGCAAACGGGAUUAGAUACCCCGGUAGUCCUAGCCCUAAACGAUGGGCACUAAGUAGAGGGGUUUU
This 807-nucleotide ribosomal RNA is filed under the name uncultured Planctomycetota bacterium. Its description in RNAcentral is "bacterial SSU rRNA". It matches the Rfam family "Bacterial small subunit ribosomal RNA", at positions 46 to 832 of the family's 1533-position model. The record is from RNAcentral. Lineage: Bacteria; Pseudomonadati; Planctomycetota.